GGCGCGGGCCACGGGCCCGCUUCCAAGUGCGUCUGCGCGCCGGCCACCCACGUCGGGUCCUUCAAGUGAAGCUUCCACCGCACCAACUCCCAGGGCCACGGCCACGGCCAGGGCCAGGGAAGCCGCCCUUAUUCGCCCCCUUCACCGGUCGCGCCCAACACGGUGCCGCGGCACCCGGCCUCGCCGUCCUUGUCCUCCGGCACCGUCGCGACCCAGUGA
This 219-nucleotide ribosomal RNA is filed under the name Triticum aestivum (bread wheat). Its description in RNAcentral is "partial small subunit ribosomal RNA". The record is from RNAcentral. Lineage: Eukaryota; Viridiplantae; Streptophyta; Magnoliopsida; Poales; Poaceae.